RNAcentral lists this ribosomal RNA (1442 nucleotides) under uncultured organism. RNAcentral's name for it is "SSU rRNA". It matches the Rfam family "Bacterial small subunit ribosomal RNA". The record is from RNAcentral.
CAUUGAUGAACGCUAGCUACAGGCUUAACACAUGCAAGUCGAGGGGCAGCAUGGUCUUAGCUUGCUAAGGCCGAUGGCGACCGGCGCACGGGUGAGUAACACGUAUCCAACCUGCCGUCUACUCUUGGACAGCCUUCUGAAAGGAAGAUUAAUACAAGAUGGCAUCAUGAGUCCGCAUGUUCACAUGAUUAAAGGUAUUCCGGUAGACGAUGGGGAUGCGUUCCAUUAGAUAGUAGGCGGGGUAACGGCCCACCUAGUCUUCGAUGGAUAGGGGUUCUGAGAGGAAGGUCCCCCACAUUGGAACUGAGACACGGUCCAAACUCCUACGGGAGGCAGCAGUGAGGAAUAUUGGUCAAUGGGCGAGAGCCUGAACCAGCCAAGUAGCGUGAAGGAUGACUGCCCUAUGGGUUGUAAACUUCUUUUAUAAAGGAAUAAAGUCGGGUAUGGAUACCCGUUUGCAUGUACUUUAUGAAUAAGGAUCGGCUAACUCCGUGCCAGCAGCCGCGGUAAUACGGAGGAUCCGAGCGUUAUCCGGAUUUAUUGGGUUUAAAGGGAGCGUAGAUGGAUGUUUAAGUCAGUUGUGAAAGUUUGCGGCUCAACCGUAAAAUUGCAGUUGAUACUGGAUAUCUUGAGUGCAGUUGAGGCAGGCGGAAUUCGUGGUGUAGCGGUGAAAUGCUUAGAUAUCACGAAGAACUCCGAUUGCGAAGGCAGCCUGCUAAGCUGCAACUGACAUUGAGGCUCGAAAGUGUGGGUAUCAAACAGGAUUAGAUACCCUGGUAGUCCACACGGUAAACGAUGAAUACUCGCUGUUUGCGAUAUACUGCAAGCGGCCAAGCGAAAGCGUUAAGUAUUCCACCUGGGGAGUACGCCGGCAACGGUGAAACUCAAAGGAAUUGACGGGGGCCCGCACAAGCGGAGGAACAUGUGGUUUAAUUCGAUGAUACGCGAGGAACCUUACCCGGGCUUAAAUUGCAGAUGAAUUACGGUGAAAGCCGUAAGCCGCAAGGCAUCUGUGAAGGUGCUGCAUGGUUGUCGUCAGCUCGUGCCGUGAGGUGUCGGCUUAAGUGCCAUAACGAGCGCAACCCUUGUUGUCAGUUACUAACAGGUUCCGCUGAGGACUCUGACAAGACUGCCAUCGUAAGAUGUGAGGAAGGUGGGGAUGACGUCAAAUCAGCACGGCCCUUACGUCCGGGGCUACACACGUGUUACAAUGGGGGGUACAGAGGGCCGCUACCACGCGAGUGGAUGCCAAUCCCCAAAACCUCUCUCAGUUCGGACUGGAGUCUGCAACCCGACUCCACGAAGCUGGAUUCGCUAGUAAUCGCGCAUCAGCCACGGCGCGGUGAAUACGUUCCCGGGCCUUGUACACACCGCCCGUCAAGCCAUGGGAGCCGGGGGUACCUGAAGUGCGUAACCGCGAGGAGCGCCCUAGGGUAAAACUG